GACGAACGCUGGCGGCGUGCCUAAUACAUGCAAGUAGAACGCAGUUGCGAACGGGUGAGUAACGCGUAGGUAACUGCCUGGUAGCGGGGGGUAACUAUUGGAAACGAUAGCUAAUACCGCAUACUACCAGAUGGACCUGCGUUGUAUUAGCUAGUUGGGGAGGUCACGGCUCACCAAGGCAACGAUACAUAGCCGAGCUGGUAGGGUGAGCGGCCACACUGGGACAGGGGCACGGCCCAGACCUCUACGGGGGGCAGGAGUAGGGAAUCUUCGGCAAUGGGGGGAAACCUGGCCGAGCAACGCCGCGUGAGUGAAGAAGGUUUUCGGAUCGUAAAGCUCUGUUGUUAAGGAAGCGGUACUUAACCAGAAAGGGACGGCUAACUACGUGCCAGCAGCCGCGGUAAUAC
RNAcentral lists this ribosomal RNA (407 nucleotides) under uncultured bacterium. Its description in RNAcentral is "partial 16S ribosomal RNA". It matches the Rfam family "Bacterial small subunit ribosomal RNA", at positions 28 to 526 of the family's 1533-position model. The record is from RNAcentral.